RNAcentral lists this ribosomal RNA (497 nucleotides) under uncultured bacterium. RNAcentral's name for it is "partial 16S ribosomal RNA". It matches the Rfam family "Bacterial small subunit ribosomal RNA", at positions 28 to 507 of the family's 1533-position model. The record is from RNAcentral.
GAUGAACGCUGGCGGCGUGCCUAAUACAUGCAAGUCGAGCGAACGGACGAGAAGCUUGCUUCUCUGCUGUUAGCGGCGGGCGGGUGAGUAACACGUGGAUAACCUACCUAUAAGACUGGGGUAACUUCGGGAAACCGGAGCUAAUACCGGAUGAUAUUUUGAAACGCAUGGUUCAAAAGUGAAAGACGGUCUUGCUGUCACUUAUAGAUGGAUCCGCGUUGCAUUAGCUAGUUGGUACGGUAACGGCUUACCAAGGCGACGAUGCAUAGCCGAUCUGAGAGGGUGAUCGGCCACACUGGAACUGAGACACGGUCCAGACUCCUACGGGAGGCAGCAGUAGGGAAUCUUCCGCAAUGGGCGAAAGCCUGACGGAGCAACGCCGCGUGAGUGAUGAAGGUCUUCGGAUCGUAAAACUCUUUUAUUUGGGAAGAACAUAUGUGUAUUUAACUGUGCAUAUCUUGACGGUACCUAAUCAGAAAGCCACGGCUAACUACGUG